This 515-nucleotide ribosomal RNA is filed under the name bacterium symbiont of Megymenum gracilicorne. RNAcentral's name for it is "bacterial SSU rRNA". It matches the Rfam family "Bacterial small subunit ribosomal RNA", at positions 527 to 1041 of the family's 1533-position model. The record is from RNAcentral.
GGAGAGGGCUGGCGUUAUUCGGAAUUAUUGGGCGUAAAGGGCGCGUAGGCGGAUUAGUAAGUUAAAAGUGAAAUCCCAAGGCUCAACCUUGGAAUUGCUUUUAAAACUGCUAAUCUAGAGAUUGAAAGAGGAUAGAGGAAUUCCUAGUGUAGAGGUGAAAUUCGUAAAUAUUAGGAGGAACACCAGUGGCGAAGGCGUCUAUCUGGUUCAAAUCUGACGCUGAGGCGCGAAGGCGUGGGGAGCAAACAGGAUUAGAUACCCUGGUAGUCCACGCUGUAAACGAUGAAUGUUAAAUAUGGGGAGUUUACUUUCUGUAUUACAGCUAACGCGUUAAACAUUCCGCCUGGGGACUACGGUCGCAAGAUUAAAACUCAAAGGAAUUGACGGGGACCCGCACAAGCGGUGGAGCAUGUGGUUUAAUUCGAUGCAACGCGAAAAACCUUACCACUCCUUGACAUGGAAAUUAUACCUAUUCGAAGGGAUAGGGUCGGUUCGGCCGGGUUUCACACAGGUGU